RNAcentral lists this small RNA (122 nucleotides) under Flavobacterium terrae. RNAcentral's name for it is "Flavo-1 RNA". It matches the Rfam family "Flavo-1 RNA". The record is from Rfam by way of RNAcentral. Lineage: Bacteria; Pseudomonadati; Bacteroidota; Flavobacteriia; Flavobacteriales; Flavobacteriaceae.
UAUUAGUCAGUUGCGUGAGGGGUUGAAGCGGCAUCCUUUUUGAUAGGCAUUUCGCACUUCGACAGGCUCAGUGACCUUCAAAAUGCACUAUCAAAAAGAUAUAGCGGAAGACCCGACCCAAA